Molecule: non-coding RNA, 103 nt
Filed under: Acetivibrio alkalicellulosi
Lineage: Bacteria; Bacillati; Bacillota; Clostridia; Acetivibrionales; Acetivibrionaceae
Source: RNAcentral
GAAAGCCGAAUGAAUCGAAAGGUUCCUGUCCGGUUUGGAGCCGGGGAAAAGCUAGAGGUGCGACAAGAUGUCGCUUGAAUAUAGUGUAAUAUAUUUACUGAAC